UAUAAGAAGAAAGAAUAAUAAUAAUAUGGAAGAGAGAGAAAGGGUAAGAGAUUCUUCUUCAUAUUUAUUUCUCUACUAGAGAAGCUACGUAUGGAGGCUUUUUUUUUUUUUUUUUUUU
This 118-nucleotide non-coding RNA is filed under the name uncultured Pelagophyceae. Lineage: Eukaryota; Pelagophyceae. The record is from RNAcentral.